This is a non-coding RNA of Apiotrichum porosum, 131 nucleotides long. The record is from the annotation of a RefSeq genome assembly. NCBI's taxonomy places the organism in Eukaryota, Fungi, Basidiomycota, Tremellomycetes, Trichosporonales, Trichosporonaceae.
GAUCCCGUGGCGUAAUGGUAGCGCGUGAGAUUCCAAUUACGGGAUGCAAAUCAACAACCCCCUCGCUCUCUCUUCGGAGCGACCGAGGCGUUGCUUCCUCAAGGUUGUCCGUUCGAUUCGGGCCGGGAUCG